Molecule: ribosomal RNA, 253 nt
Filed under: uncultured bacterium
Lineage: Bacteria
Description: partial 16S ribosomal RNA
Rfam family: Bacterial small subunit ribosomal RNA
Source: RNAcentral
UACAGAGGUCUCAAGCGUUGUUCGGAUUCAUUGGGCGUAAAGGGUGCGUAGGUGGCGCCGUAAGUCGGGUGUGAAAUUUCGGAGCUUAACUCCGAAACUGCAUUCGAUACUGCGGUGCUUGAGGACUGGAGAGGAGACUGGAAUUCAUGGUGUAGCAGUGAAAUGCGUAGAGAUCAUGAGGAAGACCAGUGGCGAAGGCGGGUCUCUGGGCAUUACCUGACGCUGAGGAGCGAAAGUGUGGGGAGCGAACAGG